AGAUGUCUUCAGGGCAGGGUGAAAAUCCCGAUCGGCGGUAAAGUCCGCGAACCGAAAGGUUGACCCGGUGUAACUCCGGGACCGACAGUGACGGGCCAUAUAUUUGGCACGAAGUCUGGAUGAAAGAAGAUGUGU
RNAcentral lists this non-coding RNA (135 nucleotides) under uncultured Eubacteriales bacterium. Its description in RNAcentral is "uncultured Clostridiales bacterium FMN". It matches the Rfam family "FMN riboswitch aptamer (RFN element)". From Rfam's summary of the family: The RFN element is a highly conserved domain that is found frequently in the 5'-untranslated regions of prokaryotic mRNAs that encode for flavin mononucleotide (FMN) biosynthesis and transport proteins. This element is a metabolite-dependent riboswitch that directly binds FMN in the absence of proteins. Lineage: Bacteria; Bacillati; Bacillota; Clostridia; Eubacteriales. The record is from RNAcentral.